CACACAAAAAAGCUGAAAAAUUAGUCCAAAAAUUAAAUUCCAACCUAGUCAACUCCAUAUCUAGGAAUCUUCCUUGUUUUUUCCUUUAAAGGUCACCAUUCACAGUUACUGUUCAUGGAUGCAGGGGUGAGGAUGACUGUAUUUAGUUGCAAUCGUUUAAAUUUAUGCUCUUCAUAAAAGCAAGUGUCUUACUCUGACAAGGGUUGUAACCCUCAUGCAUUUCCUACAGCUGUAGCUGAAUUGGAACUAUUAGGUCCUAUUCACUUACACCUUCUCAGAGAAGAUUCCAUUUCCCAAUUAUUGGACCAUUGAGUCAAAUAAAAGCAAAUGUUGUUAAAGAAAACAACAUGAAAAGAGUCUUUCAAUAUCUAAAGAAAGCUGGGGAUUGAUCGAAACUAAGUAGUUGAAAAUGCAUCUCUAUCCAUGACUUGAACCACAAAGGUGGUGGGGGGCAGGGUAAAGGAAAGAGGGGAAGGAACUUAGAGCAGGGGCAAGAACGAGAGAAAAUUUAUUGAAGUAAAGAAAGAGAAUUGGUAUCUGGAAUUUCCUCUGCAAUUUAGGGCUGUCAGACCAGUGUCUUGCACAUCUUCCCAGAUUGAACACAUCGCUAUUAUGGAAGCAGAACUCUAUUCUAGGAUAGAUUAAAGAGCUAAUAGGUGAAACCAGCUGCAGGGAGCAUCUGGUUUUUGUUGUUGUUGUUGUUGUUUGUUUUUUUAUUUCAGAGCAGGAGUCCUUGCAGAACUAGAAAAAUACAGAUUCCAGAGUUCUCAGGAGGUUGCAGCCUAGGAGGGCAUUUUCACAACCUUCCAAUCUUUAAAGCGCUCUAAGCUCAAUGAAUCCCCAUGAAUCCUUCCAACACGUGACUUGCCAUAACAACUUUACCUUCCAAAAUAUUACUGGGGUGAAAAGACCUGGAGCACAGCUUCGCUUUUACCCAAGAUUGGGAGCAACAACCCGGGACUCUUUCUUCUCUGCAGCUUCAUUCUCUAGCACAUGCUCCCAUAACAAGAGUGAAACAGAGAAAAGACUGGAGGCCACAGGGAUGGAGAGAAGGGAUAGCAGUUCUGUGGCAGCCCAGCUGGAGGGAGUCUUCCCUUCCUUCUUCAAGGAGAAUGUACUCUAUGUAGAGUGA
This 1132-nucleotide long non-coding RNA is filed under the name Papio anubis (olive baboon). RNAcentral describes it as "lncRNA (ENSPANG00000049886.1)". Lineage: Eukaryota; Metazoa; Chordata; Mammalia; Primates; Cercopithecidae. The record is from RNAcentral.